Molecule: transfer RNA, 72 nt
Filed under: Saccoglossus kowalevskii
Lineage: Eukaryota; Metazoa; Hemichordata; Enteropneusta; Harrimaniidae
Description: tRNA-Cys
Rfam family: tRNA
About the family: Transfer RNA (tRNA) molecules are approximately 80 nucleotides in length. Their secondary structure includes four short double-helical elements and three loops (D, anti-codon, and T loops). Further hydrogen bonds mediate the characteristic L-shaped molecular structure. tRNAs have two regions of fundamental functional importance: the anti-codon, which is responsible for specific mRNA codon recognition, and the 3' end, to which the tRNAs corresponding amino acid is attached (by aminoacyl-tRNA synthetases). tRNAs cope with the degeneracy of the genetic code in two manners: having more than one tRNA (with a specific anti-codon) for a particular amino acid; and 'wobble' base-pairing, i.e. permitting non-standard base-pairing at the 3rd anti-codon position.
Source: RNAcentral
GGGGAUAUAGCUCAGUGGUAGAGCAUUCAACUGCAGAUCGAGAGGUACAUGGUUCAAACCCGGGUGUCCUCU